This is an RNA transcript of Xenopus laevis (African clawed frog), 1354 nucleotides long. RefSeq lists it as uncharacterized. The transcript has 2 exons. Lineage: Eukaryota; Metazoa; Chordata; Amphibia; Anura; Pipidae. The record is from RefSeq and is a predicted model, not a curated record.
GAAAUGUCCGAUAAGGAGUUACACUUCCUAGAUGUUCAACUCACUAUUCGUAAUGGGGCGAUUAGCACUAACUUGUAUAGAAAAGGAACAGAUAGAAAUAACUUACUCCAUGCCCAGAGUUUUCAUAACCCAAGUACCGUUAAAGCAAUCCCUAAGGGUCAGUUUUUAAGGGCCAAAAGGAUUGCCUCUACAGAUGAUGAUUAUAGAAGGGCUGGCCAGUCCUUAAGUGAGCGGUUUGUACAAAGGGGAUAUGAGUCUAAGCAUGUCAAAAAAGUAAUGGAGGAAGUAAAGUCUAUACCAAGGAAAGAACUGUUACAAAAAAGUCGGCAGGUGAGACAGAAGGAUAACCGGAGUAUGUUUGUGUCCAAAUUCGUUAGACAUAGCAAAAAUAUAGAAAAGGUUAUAAAGAAAUAUUGGCCUGUUCUCCAACGAGAUAAGACUUUUGGGAAGUUAUUUAAGGAUCCCCCACGGUUCUGCUACAGGAAGGGCAUGAGUAUUAGGGACAUGCUAUGCCCUUCAGAGUUACCUAUAGAAAAGAAACAGAUGUUCCUGGGAAUACAGAAGAAAGGUACCUUUCCGUGCUUGAAUUGUGUCUGUUGCGCCUCGAUAAUAAAAGGGUCAAGCAUUAAUCAUCCCACUAAAGGCAAUAAACUAAAUUUGAAUGACUAUGCCACAUGUGAAUCGAAAGGGGUCAUAUACAUGUUGAAGUGCCCAUGUGGCCUAGUCUAUGUGGGGCAAACAAUUAGAAAUGUAAAAACCAGGAUUAAAGAGCAUAAAGGGGACAUAAGGAAUUAUAAACCAGGAUCUCAGACAGAUACGACUGUAGCCCGACAUUUUAAUGAGGCAAAACAUAGCCACGGGCAAUUGAAAUGGGUGGUCCUCGAAGUAGUACAACCAUUAAGUCGAGGUGGUAACUUUAAGCAAAAGAUGCUACAACGUGAAGCCAAAUGGAUUUCUAAAUUGAAUUCACUAGCCCCAGUUGGGCUUAAUGAUGCCUGGAGUUUGAAAUGCUUUUUAUAAGAAUUGUAAUAUUUACUCUUAUUUAUUUCAGAUAUUAAGUGAUGCCUAUCCUCUCAGCUGGGGGUAAGAGUGUAUCUGAAGAUAUGGAACCUUGGCACUUGGACACUACAUGUACACUGGAGAUCACUGGGACUUUUAAACGUUUUAUACGUUCUAUGUUUUCUACCUAUUUUACACUUUUACUCUGGACUAAUGAGUUAAUUGGUGGGAGGAGGAGCACUGUUUGGCAAUUAAGGCUAUAAGAUGUGGUUUGAUCAUGUGAUUGUUACACUUGAGAAAGGGUCCAUGUGACUCGAAACAUGUCGUGUGUACAAUAAAGCACUAACGCAGCAGA